ACUCAAAUGAAUUGACGGGGACCCGCACAAGCGGUGGAUGAUGUGGUUUAAUUCGAUGCAACGCGAAAAACCUUACCUACCCUUGACAUGUCUGGAAUCCCGCAGAGAUGUGGGAGUGCCCGAAAGGGAGCCAGAACACAGGUGCUGCAUGGCUGUCGUCAGCUCGUGUCGUGAGAUGUUGGGUUAAGUCCCGCAACGAGCGCAACCCUUGUCAUUAGUUGCUACGAAAGGGCACUCUAAUGAGACUGCCGGUGACAAACCGGAGGAAGGUGGGGAUGACGUCAAGUCCUCAUGGCCCUUAUGGGUAGGGCUACACACGUCAUACAAUGGCUGGUACAGAGGGUUGCCAACCCGCGAGGGGGAGCUAAUCCCAUAAAACCAGUCGUAGUCCGGAUCGUAGUCUGCAACUCGACUGCGUGAAGUCGGAAUCGCUAGUAAUCGCGGAUCAGCAUGUCGCGGUGAAUACGUUCCCGGGUCUUGUACACACCGCCCGU
This 494-nucleotide ribosomal RNA is filed under the name uncultured bacterium. RNAcentral describes it as "partial 16S ribosomal RNA". It matches the Rfam family "Bacterial small subunit ribosomal RNA", at positions 899 to 1397 of the family's 1533-position model. The record is from RNAcentral.